Molecule: microRNA precursor, 116 nt
Filed under: Otolemur garnettii (small-eared galago)
Lineage: Eukaryota; Metazoa; Chordata; Mammalia; Primates; Galagidae
Description: miRNA (ENSOGAG00000025876.1)
Source: RNAcentral
AUAACAAUAUAGUGCCUGAAUAUGUAAGAAAUAUUAGAGACUAUAUAUGUGUGUGUGUGUGUGUGUGUGUAUAUAUAUAUCCACACACAUAUAUACAUAUAUACACACACAUACAC